This 759-nucleotide ribosomal RNA is filed under the name uncultured bacterium. Its description in RNAcentral is "bacterial SSU rRNA". It matches the Rfam family "Bacterial small subunit ribosomal RNA", at positions 579 to 1339 of the family's 1533-position model. The record is from RNAcentral.
CUGAUUAGUCGGAUGUGAAAUCCCUGAGCUUAACUUAGGAAUUGCAUUCGAUACUGGUCAGCUAGAGUAUGGGAGAGGAUGGUAGAAUUCCAGGUGUAGCGGUGAAAUGCGUAGAGAUCUGGAGGAAUACCGAUGGCGAAGGCAGCCAUCUGGCCUAAUACUGACGCUGAGGUACGAAAGCAUGGGGAGCAAACAGGAUUAGAUACCCUGGUAGUCCAUGCCGUAAACGAUGUCUACUAGCCGUUGGGGUCUUUGAGACUUUAGUGGCGCAGCUAACGCGAUAAGUAGACCGCCUGAGGAGUACGGUCGCAAGACUAAAACUCAAAUGAAUUGACGGGGGCCCGCACAAGCGGUGGAGCAUGUGGUUUAAUUCGAUGCAACGCGAAGAACCUUACCUGGUCUUGACAUAGUAGAAACUUUCCAGAGAUGGAUUGGUGCCUUCGGGAAUCUACAUACAGGUGCUGCAUGGCUGUCGUCAGCUCGUGUCGUGAGAUGUUGGGUUAAGUCCCGCAACGAGCGCAACCCUUUUCCUUAUUUGCCAGCACUUUGGGUGGGAACUUUAAGGAUACUGCCAGUGACAAACUGGAGGAAGGCGGGGACGACGUCAAGUCAUCAUGGCCCUUACGACCAGGGCUACACACGUGCUACAAUGGUCGGUACAAAGGGUUGCUACACAGCGAUGUGAUGCUAAUCUCAAAAAGCCAAUCGUAGUCCGGAUUGGAGUCUGCAACUCGACUCCAUGAAGUCGGAAUCGCUAGU